This 492-nucleotide ribosomal RNA is filed under the name uncultured bacterium. Its description in RNAcentral is "partial 16S ribosomal RNA". It matches the Rfam family "Bacterial small subunit ribosomal RNA", at positions 29 to 507 of the family's 1533-position model. The record is from RNAcentral.
AGUGAACGCUGGCGGUAGGCCUAACACAUGCAAGUCGAACGGCAGCACAGUAAGAGCUUGCUCUUACGGGUGGCGAGUGGCGGACGGGUGAGGAAUACAUCGGAAUCUACUUUUUCGUGGGGGAUAACGUAGGGAAACUUACGCUAAUACCGCAUACGACCUACGGGUGAAAGCAGGGGAUCUUCGGACCUUGCGCGAUUGCAUGAGCCGAUGUGGGAUUAGCUAGUUGGCGGGGUAAAGGCCCACCAAGGCGAGGAUCCGUAGCUGGUCUGAGUGGAUGAUCAGCCACACUGGAACUGAGACACGGUCAAGACUCCUACGGGAGGCAGCAGUGGGGAAUAUUGGACAAUGGGCGCAAGCCUGAUCCAGCCAUACCGCGUGGGUGAAGAAGGCCUUCGGGUUGUAAAGCCCUUUUGUUGGGAAAGAAAAGCAGCAGGUUAAUACCCCGCUGUUCUGACGGUACCCAAAGAAUAAGCACCGGCUAACUUCGUG